Molecule: long non-coding RNA, 1462 nt
Filed under: Macaca fascicularis (crab-eating macaque)
Lineage: Eukaryota; Metazoa; Chordata; Mammalia; Primates; Cercopithecidae
Description: lncRNA (ENSMFAG00000065225.1)
Source: RNAcentral
CAGCCUCUCACCACAGAUUAUUUGACUGUCAGGGAUUUCAAAGAACAAAAGAGACUUCAGGUAGGAUGGCUGCCUUCCAGUUUUCAGGUUGUUAUAUCUUUGUGGGGGUUGCAGUGGUUUGUAUUUUGAAGGAUACUUUCACUUUCUUUGACAGAAAUCAUUGAACAUUGAUUGGACUCCAACACAAAACAGCUCUUUCACUUAGGCGAGACUUGAUUUCUCUUUUCUAUCACAGAUAAUCCAUAAUGCCUGUAAACAGCACUACUGGACACGCUUUUAAGGCUUGCCAUCACCACAGACAGCAUCUGAGACACUAUUUCAACCUCAUCUGCACCCAUGAGAGGUCAUUCUGACCGGUGAGAACACUGCUUCACCUUGGACUUGCCUUUGUCAUGGUUCUUGCCUUUCCCAGAGAGCCCCUUCACUGCCCAUAAUGAAGGGAGGCCAUGAGGUCAAGAGCCUGGCCAUCUUUCACUGCCACCUACCUUUGGAGUCUCAGGUAGAGUUCUAUCUCCCAAGGAAACCUCGACAACACACCAGAGAUUAUACUCCAAUCCCCAUUCCAGACCUGAUUCUUGUACACGGCCUCUGUAGGAACUGGCAUAAAAAGAACUGUUUCCAGGGACUAUCUCACAGUCUUGAAACACCUCCUCCUCUAGAUGGAUCCGACCAUGGGGACAACGAGAAGGGGCAUUAAAGUCAAGACUUUCAGAGUCCAGAAAUGCCUUAUUACAGGCUGCCUUAUUCCCAAUACCAGGACGGCUCUGCUUUUACCAUUCUUUUCUGCUUAAGCAGGCUGACAGCUCUGACAGCUGGGCUCCCAAGCCUGCCUCAUGUAUGUGCAUGAGCUAGUCUCAGAGCACUAGGCCUGAAUGUGAGCUCUGAGUAACAUCACAGCGAAUAUCACCAUUGCCUAGUGACAAGUCCCUGUGGCUUAGCAGAGAAGAAAACAUCCCUCGAAGUUCAUCAGCAUUGGAUUCGCAUUUGACUUCUCUUUGGAAUCCCAUGAACUGAGGAGAAGGAAGACGUGAGUCAGCCUGAAAAAAAGUCAGUCCCCAGAAAUAAAUCGUGAAAUCCCCAAGGAUCCCCAAUGAUCCCAAAGGAUCUGCAGGAUUUCUUGCUCCUGCCUAGAUGUUGUAGGGGUGAGUAUUUGGAAACUUGCUGUACUAUGAUUUUUAGUUUUCCUGAUUCACAUAUGAUUUUGUGUGUUUCCCGAGGUUGCUCUUUCAUACAUGGGUCUUCCUGUAAAACCAUGCAGUCUCAGAACCUGCCAGGCUGUGUGUUUCUGUUGUAGUGUUUCGAGUAUUGGAUGUCUGCAUAUGUAUGUGGCAUUUUGUGUUUAUGUGUGUGUGUGUGUGUAUGGGACUGUACCUGUAAGUGGAGUCUGCUUAAAGGAAUAUGCCUAAUGCAAUUCUUAGAUUCUUUUUUUUUUUUCCUUGAGAUUCCUAACCUUUUGGUGGCC